CCUACGGGUGGCAGCAGUGGGGAAUAUUGCACAAUGGGCGCAAGCCUGAUGCAGCCAUGCCGCGUGUGUGAAGAAGGCCUUCGGGUUGUAAAGCACUUUCAGCGGGGAGGAAGGCGUUAAGGUUAAUAACCUUGGCGAUUGACGUUACCCGCAGAAGAAGCACCGGCUAACUCCGUGCCAGCAGCCGCGGUAAUACGGAGGGUGCAAGCGUUAAUCGGAAUUACUGGGCGUAAAGCGCACGCAGGCGGUCUGUCAAGUCGGAUGUGAAAUCCCCGGGCUCAACCUGGGAACUGCAUUCGAAACUGGCAGGCUAGAGUCUUGUAGAGGGGGGUAGAAUUCCAGGUGUAGCGGUGAAAUGCGUAGAGAUCUGGAGGAAUACCGGUGGCGAAGGCGGCCCCCUGGGCAAAGACUGACGCUCAGGUGCGAAAGCGUGGGGAGCAAACAGGAUUAGAUACCCUAGUAGUC
This 465-nucleotide ribosomal RNA is filed under the name uncultured Klebsiella sp. RNAcentral describes it as "bacterial SSU rRNA". It matches the Rfam family "Bacterial small subunit ribosomal RNA", at positions 338 to 795 of the family's 1533-position model. Lineage: Bacteria; Pseudomonadati; Pseudomonadota; Gammaproteobacteria; Enterobacterales; Enterobacteriaceae. The record is from RNAcentral.